Perca fluviatilis (European perch) is the source of this 686-nucleotide long non-coding RNA. RefSeq lists it as uncharacterized. The transcript is spliced from 2 exons. The record is from RefSeq and is a predicted model, not a curated record. NCBI's taxonomy places the organism in Eukaryota, Metazoa, Chordata, Actinopteri, Perciformes, Percidae.
AAUGUGUGUGUGUGUGUGUGUGUAUAAUGUGUGUGUGUGUUUUCAGAGUGUGUCUCAGAGAAGAGGAACUCUGUGUUUUAACUGUUUGACUGAAACAACGACUCUGUGGAGGAGAAACUCAUCAGGAGAACCAGUCUGCAACGCCUGUGGCCUCUACUACACACUACACAAGGUCAACCGGCCGCUGGCGAUGAAGAGAGACGGAAUCCAAACCAGAAACCGUAAAGUGACCAAUAAGAAGAAGAGGAGCAGGAAAUCCGACCAAUCAGAGACUAAGCUGUCCACACCGGUCCCCUUUCUGACCUCUGCUUCCUCCUCUUCUUCUUCGUCUUCAACCCUUGUGAUGGCUCCCCGUCAAACAUGAAAAAAACACUUUUUGUUGUCCAUAUCUCAACGUUUUUGUUACUUUUUAAAAAAAAAAAUAUUUUUUGUGCGUUUUGGUCACUUUUUCCCACAUUUUUAUAGCUUUUUCUAAUGGUUGUAUCCCUUUUUGUCGCUUUUUUGCAACAUUUUUGACACUUUUCCCAAAGUUUUAGGCGCUUAUUUCGACGUCCCAUAUGUCUGAUAUAAAAUAAACUUUGAAAACGGGUCAGAUUUGACCCAAAGACAACAUGAGGGUUAAUAAACUUAUAAAUAUAUCUUCCUGUGAACUGAUUUUUUUUACUUAAAUAAAGUUUUUGACUGUU